Zophobas morio is the source of this 422-nucleotide long non-coding RNA. RefSeq lists it as uncharacterized. Lineage: Eukaryota; Metazoa; Arthropoda; Insecta; Coleoptera; Tenebrionidae. The record is from RefSeq and is a predicted model, not a curated record. The transcript has 4 exons.
GCUCUUCUGUUUUUCCCUCGUUUGUGCUGAAAAAGACUUCUUUUUACUUGUACUUUCAAUAUAAUAAACCAUGCUUGAGGAAUUGACCGAAAAGCAUAACUCUUCCGAAGAUGAAAAGAGAAGGGAAGACUAUGAUUCUAUCGAGAAGUUAAGUACUUUGGAAGGUCGAGAGGAGGAGGAAGAAGAUCGUGAGGAUCCAGAAGAUGCCAUGCCUCAAAUUCAAGAGAGAUGCCGAAUUUCUCAUUGUUCAUCCUUCAUUCAAGAACUUGAAAAGUGUACUGCCCGCGUUAACAGCAGAAAGAAAACAACAGAAACUUGUCAACAGGAAGUUUACGAUUUAAUGGAAUGUGUGAAUCACUGUGCUGCUAAAAAAGUUUUUCAAGUUUUGAAAUGAAUAUUUCUAUCAAGUUAUAGCAAGUUAA